UACGUAGGGCCCAAGCAUUAUCCGGAAUUACUGGGCGUAAAGAGUGCGUAGGUGUUCUCUCAAGUCGGUCGUUAAAUCUCAUUGCUUAACAGUGAGGCUGCGAGCGAUACUGAGAGAAUUGAGUGUUGCAGGGGCAAGCAGAAUUCUUGGAGUAGGGGUGAAAUCCGUUGAUACCAAGAGGAAUACCAAUGGCGAAGGCAGCUUGCUGGGCAAACACUGACACUGAGGCACGAAAGCGUGGGGAGCAAACGGG
RNAcentral lists this ribosomal RNA (253 nucleotides) under uncultured bacterium. RNAcentral's name for it is "partial 16S ribosomal RNA". It matches the Rfam family "Bacterial small subunit ribosomal RNA", at positions 524 to 776 of the family's 1533-position model. The record is from RNAcentral.